UACAGAGGGUGCGAUCGUUGUUCGGAAUCACUGGGCAUAAAGCGCACGUAGGCGGCACCGCAAGUGUGGGGUGAAAUCCCACGGCUUACCCGUGGAACUGCCUGGCAGACUGCGGUGCUAGAGGUUGGUAGGGGAGAGCGGAACUCUUGGUGGAGCGGUGAAAUGCGUAGAUAUCAAGAGGAACACCGGUGGCGAAGGCGGCUCUCUGGUCCAAUCCUGACGCUGAGGUGCGAAAGCUAGGGGAGCAAACGGG
RNAcentral lists this ribosomal RNA (253 nucleotides) under uncultured bacterium. RNAcentral describes it as "partial 16S ribosomal RNA". It matches the Rfam family "Bacterial small subunit ribosomal RNA", at positions 524 to 776 of the family's 1533-position model. The record is from RNAcentral.